AGGGCACAGGGAGUCCUGCCCUUCUGCGGAGUGUUCAGGGACAGAAACCCAGGAGCUGAAGAGAGUCGAGCUCUCCCGGAAGCCGCCCAGAUGCCCAGGGAACACGGGCAGCAGGAAUGACACGGCACAGAGCUCUGGCCACAGGAGACUGGCUUUGACUCUGACUAGGAAGGGCAGUGCCAAGGACAAAAACGCAGUCUGCCGGGAAAGCAGGUCUGUUCACCGACCGCGGAAGGAGAAAUCCUCGUGGUGGCCGGGAAAGCGAGGCCCGCACUGCUGCAGGAAGCACGUCUCCCACCUGCCCAGGCCGGCGGCAGCACACAGCGCAGGGAGAAGCCGGACAGGCAGGUCCACAGGUGACAGCAGUCAUCCCCGCGCCGCGGGCCAGCAAGGUCCAGGCUGCCGGACUCACGGUCCUGGGAAGCAUCUUCAAAAGCAGCCGAGGACAUCAAAUGUUGCCAUAACUGCCAAAGAUAAAAUACCAAACCGGCAACAUCUCACCGCCCAAGAAUCUAGUAUCUUCCUCUGCCUGGAAUUCUGCCAAAAUUGUGCUUAAUGUUUUUGGGCAUGGAAAUGCCUCUCCACAAUUCUCCCUUUCAAAUCCCUUCUGAGGCUCCAGGAUUAAAGGAGAAGGCACUUCAUUUAUUAAAUGCAAUUCUAAAG
This 663-nucleotide long non-coding RNA is filed under the name Fukomys damarensis (Damara mole-rat). Its description in RNAcentral is "lncRNA (ENSFDAG00000022844.1)". The record is from RNAcentral. Lineage: Eukaryota; Metazoa; Chordata; Mammalia; Rodentia; Bathyergidae.